GACGUAGGGGGGCGAGCGUUGCCCGGAUUCACUGGGCGUAAAGCGCGUGUAGGCGGUUUGUUAAGUCGGAUGUGAAAGCUCCGGGCUCAACCCGGAAAUUGCAUCCGAUACUGGCAGACUUGAGGACGGUAGAGGUCGGUGGAAUGGCGAGUGUACCGGUGAAAUGGGCAGAUAUUCGCCAGAACACCAGUGGCGAAGGCGGCCGACUGGGCCGUUCCUGACGCUGAGACGCGAAAGCCAGGGGAGCGAACCGG
Molecule: ribosomal RNA, 254 nt
Filed under: uncultured bacterium
Lineage: Bacteria
Description: partial 16S ribosomal RNA
Rfam family: Bacterial small subunit ribosomal RNA
Source: RNAcentral